GAUGAAGAACGUAGCGAAAUGCGAUAAGUAAUGUGAAUUGCAGAAUUCAGUGAAUCAUCGAAUCUUUGAACGCACAUUGCGCCCCUUGGUAUUCCGAGGGGCAUGCCUGUUCGAGCGUCAUUAUAACCCCUCAAGCUCAGCUUGGUGUUGGGGCCUGCCGCACGGGCAGCCCUUAAAAUCAGUGGCGGUGCCAUCUGGCUCUAAGCGUAGUAAUUCUUCUCGCUAUAGAGUCCCGGUGGAUGCUUGCCAUUAACCCCCAAUUUUCUAGGGUUGACCUCGGAUCAGGUAGGGAUACCCGCUGAACUUAAGCAUAUCAAUAAGCGGAGGA
RNAcentral lists this unclassified non-coding RNA (328 nucleotides) under soil metagenome. RNAcentral describes it as "partial contains 5.8S ribosomal RNA, internal transcribed spacer 2, and large subunit ribosomal RNA". The stretch from base 1 to 120 matches the Rfam family "5.8S ribosomal RNA", at positions 35 to 154 of the family's 154-position model. The record is from RNAcentral.